This 449-nucleotide ribosomal RNA is filed under the name uncultured bacterium. RNAcentral describes it as "bacterial SSU rRNA". It matches the Rfam family "Bacterial small subunit ribosomal RNA", at positions 355 to 796 of the family's 1533-position model. The record is from RNAcentral.
UCGAGGAUCAUUCGCAAUGGGCGAAAGCCUGACGAUGCGACGCCGUGUGAGCGAUGAAGGCCUUCGGGUUGUAAAGCUCUUUCGCUUGGGAACAAGGAAAUGUAGUGAAUAACUAUGUGACUUGAGGGUACCAGGUAAAGAAGCACCGGCUAACUCCGUGCCAGCAGCUGCGGUAAUACGGAGGGUGCAAGCAUUAAUCGGAAUUAUUGGGCGUAAAGGGCGCGUAGGCGGAUUUGUAAGUCAGAUGUGAAAUUCCGAAGCUCAACUUCGGAGCUGCAUUUGAAACUGCGAGUCUAGAGGGAUGGCGGAGAAAAUGGAAUUCCACGUGUAGCGGUGAAAUGCGUAGAUAUGUGGAAGAACACCAGUGGCGAAGGCGAUUUUCUAGCUUUUACCUGACGCUGAGGCGCGAGAGCAAGGGGAGCAAACAGGAUUAGAUACCCCUGUAGUCC